UUCUAUUAAACUUAAUUAAUAGUAAAAUCUGCUCAAUGAAAAUUAAAUAGCCGCUAAUGUGCUAAGGUAGUAUAAUAAUUUGUCUUUUAAUUAAAGACUAAAACAAAAGAUUUAACAUUUUAAUUAAUCUAAAUAAUUUAAUUAUUUAAAUUAUUUUAAUUCUAAAAAAAUAAUUAUACAAAAAAAAGACGACAAGACCCUAUUGAACUUAACUUUAGUUAAACUGGGGUAGUUGAUUAAAAAUAUCUUACAAUAAUUAUUUAUAUAUAAGACCUACUAAAAUAAUUAAAAAAUCAAGUUACCAUAGGGAUAACAGCGUAAUAACUCUUAAAGCUCUUAUUUCAAAAGAAAAUUACGACCUCGAUGUUGAAUAAUCUUCUAGUUCACGCAAUAGUGAAAAAAGAAAGUCUGUUCGACUUUUAAAUAAUUACA
This 432-nucleotide ribosomal RNA is filed under the name Ctenus crulsi. RNAcentral describes it as "partial 16S ribosomal RNA". The record is from RNAcentral. Lineage: Eukaryota; Metazoa; Arthropoda; Arachnida; Araneae; Ctenidae.